Molecule: long non-coding RNA, 689 nt
Organism: Micropterus salmoides (largemouth bass)
Lineage: Eukaryota; Metazoa; Chordata; Actinopteri; Centrarchiformes; Centrarchidae
Exons: 3
Source: RefSeq, a predicted model, not a curated record
AGGCAGACGUGCUGAAAGACUGAUGACUGCUGCUCCUGGGAGAACUGGUUGACAAAGAGGAGGAGCAUGGUGCAGAAGAGGGGAAAAGCAAUGAGCUGCACUGCGGGACAUGAUGUUCUUGAGGCAUCACACCACAACUGGGUCCCAGUGGAGAACUCCCCCCUGUGACAUCUGGCUCGCUUUUCUUGGAGGGGGAGGCAUCUAACCAGAGCCGCCAACAACCUGUCAACAGGGAGAGAGGGACAAAAAAAAUCAACAUGCUUGCAAUGUUAUAUGCUUGCAAUGUCUCUCUCUCCAUCUGUCUUUUUGAAUAUGUGCUUGGAAAUCACAGACACAAAGGCAGGAGCGACCUGUCUGCGGUCUGUAAUUAAGUGGAGGCGGCAUCACAAUCUGUACUUGAUUCACAUAGAUCUUUUCAGUGUGCCAUUGUUUUAAGAUAGGGAAGACCGGGUAUGGUUGUAACACUUUUUGCUUGAGCAACUAUAACUCACUAAAUUUUUCUAAGAGUUCUCAAACUUUUAUACAAAGUACUCACAUUUGUUCACUUCAAAUGGCACCAAUUAAAUUCUGCACAAGAAUAUCAAAGACCUUGUGAGUUGACAACCUACCCCAGUACCGGGGUAAGUUGUGAUGUGGUGUCCAAUAUAUGUGCAUUUGACUCAUAACAGUUUAAAAUAGCACUGUAGCAG